ACGUAGGAGGCGAGCGUUAUCCGGAUUUACUGGGCGUAAAGCGCGUGCAGGCGGUUCAGCAAGUUGGAUGUGAAAGCUCCCGGCUAAACUGGGAGAGGUCGGAUGAGACUGCCGAGCUAGAGGACGGUAGAGGGGUGUGGAAUUCCGGGUGUAGUGGUGAAAUGCGUAGAGAUCCGGAGGAACACCAGAGGCGAAGGCGACACCCUGGGCCGUACCUGACGCUAAGACGCGACAGCACGGGGAGCGAACGG
RNAcentral lists this ribosomal RNA (251 nucleotides) under uncultured prokaryote. RNAcentral describes it as "partial 16S ribosomal RNA". It matches the Rfam family "Bacterial small subunit ribosomal RNA", at positions 525 to 775 of the family's 1533-position model. The record is from RNAcentral.